AGGGUUCGAUCCUGGCUCAGGACGAACGCUGGCGGCGUGCCUAACACAUGCAAGUCGAACGAAGCUCCUUUCACCAAGACUUCGGUCAAGGCGAAAGGAUGACUUAGUGGCGGACGGGUGAGUAACGCGUGAGCAACCUGCCCUUCGGAGGGGGACAACAGUUGGAAACGACUGCUAAUACCGCAUAACACAUAGCUAUCGCAUGGUAAUUAUGUCAAAGAUUUAUCGCCGAAGGAUGGGCUCGCGUCUGAUUAGAUAGUUGGUGAGGUAACGGCUCACCAAGUCGACGAUCAGUAGCCGGACUGAGAGGUUGAACGGCCACAUUGGGACUGAGAUACGGCCCAG
Molecule: ribosomal RNA, 345 nt
Filed under: uncultured bacterium
Lineage: Bacteria
Description: bacterial SSU rRNA
Rfam family: Bacterial small subunit ribosomal RNA
Source: RNAcentral